GAUGAACGCUGGCGGCGUGCUUAACACAUGCAAGUCGAACGAUGAAGCCCAGCUUGCUGGGUGGAUUAGUGGCGAACGGGUGAGUAACACGUGAGUAACCUGCCCUUGACUCUGGGAUAAGCCUGGGAAACUGGGUCUAAUACUGGAUAUGACUUCUCAUCGCAUGGUGGGGGGUGGAAAGAUUUAUUGGUCUUGGAUGGACUCGCGGCCUAUCAGCUUGUUGGUGAGGUAAUGGCUCACCAAGGCGAUGACGGGUAGCCGGCCUGAGAGGGUGACCGGCCACACUGGGACUGAGACACGGCCCAGACUCCUACGGGAGGCAGCAGUGGGGAAUAUUGCACAAUGGGCGCAAGCCUGAUGCAGCGACGCCGCGUGAGGGAUGACGGCCUUCGGGUUGUAAACCUCUUUCAGUAGGGAAGAAGCGAGAGUGACGGUACCUGCAGAAGAAGCGCCGGCUAACUACGUG
RNAcentral lists this ribosomal RNA (466 nucleotides) under uncultured bacterium. RNAcentral describes it as "partial 16S ribosomal RNA". It matches the Rfam family "Bacterial small subunit ribosomal RNA", at positions 28 to 507 of the family's 1533-position model. The record is from RNAcentral.